AUCUUUCUAGUAUAAAACGAGUACCUGUGAUUUCCACUCACCCGGUCUUGGUUAGACCCCAAGGUUAGAUA
RNAcentral lists this transfer RNA (71 nucleotides) under Pundamilia nyererei. RNAcentral describes it as "tRNA-Gly". Lineage: Eukaryota; Metazoa; Chordata; Actinopteri; Cichliformes; Cichlidae. The record is from RNAcentral.